RNAcentral lists this ribosomal RNA (433 nucleotides) under uncultured bacterium. Its description in RNAcentral is "partial 16S ribosomal RNA". It matches the Rfam family "Bacterial small subunit ribosomal RNA", at positions 29 to 507 of the family's 1533-position model. The record is from RNAcentral.
AAUGAACGCUGGCGGCAUGCCUAACACAUGCAAGUCGAACGAAGGCUUCGGCCUUAGUGGCGCACGGGUGCGUAACGCGUGGGAAUCUGCCCCUGGGUUCGGAAUAACAGUUAGAAAUGACUGCUAAUACCGGAUGAUGACGUAAGUCCAAAGAUUUAUCGCCGAGGGAUGAGCCCGCGUAGGAUUAGCUAGUUGGUGUGGUAAGAGCGCACCAAGGCGACGAUCCUUAGCUGGUAUGAGAGGAUGAUCAGCCACACUGGGACUGAGACACGGCCCAGACUCCUACGGGAGGCAGCAGUGGGGAAUAUUGGACAAUGGGCGAAAGCCUGAUGCAGCAAUGCCGCGUGAGUGAUGAAGGCCUUAGGGUUGUAAAGCUCUUUUACCCGGGAUGAUAAUGACAGUACCGGGAGAAUAAGCUCCGGCUAACUCCGUG